AUGCAGAUGACGAGUCCCAAAUAGGAAGAAAUGCGCAUCCUGGAU
Molecule: non-coding RNA, 45 nt
Filed under: Trichobilharzia regenti
Lineage: Eukaryota; Metazoa; Platyhelminthes; Trematoda; Strigeidida; Schistosomatidae
Source: RNAcentral